Molecule: ribosomal RNA, 505 nt
Filed under: uncultured bacterium
Lineage: Bacteria
Description: partial 16S ribosomal RNA
Rfam family: Bacterial small subunit ribosomal RNA
Source: RNAcentral
GACGAACGCUGGCGGCGUGCCUAAUACAUGCAAGUAGAACGCACAGUUUAUACCGUAGCUUUCUCCACCAUAAACUGUGAGUUGCGAACGGGUGAGUAACGCGUAGGUAACCUGCCUGGUAGCGGGGGAUAACUAUUGGAAACGAUAGCUAAUACCGCAUAAUAUUGAUUAUUGCAUGAUAAUUGAUUGAAAGAUGCUAUUGCAUCACUACCAGAUGGACCUGCGUUGUAUUAGCUAGUAGGUGAGGUAACGGCUCACCUAGGCGACGAUACAUAGCCGACCUGAGAGGGUGAUCGGCCACACUGGGACUGAGACACGGCCCAGACUCCUACGGGAGGCAGCAGUAGGGAAUCUUCGGCAAUGGACGAAAGUCUGACCGAGCAACGCCGCGUGAGUGAAGAAGGUUUUCGGAUCGUAAAGCUCUGUUGUAAGAGAAGAACGGGUGUGAGAGUGGAAAGUUCACACUGUGACGGUAUCUUACCAGAAAGGGACGGCUAACUACGUG